AGAACGAACGCUGGCGGCAGGCCUCAAACAUGCAAGUCUAGGGGGUGUAGCAAUACAUCACCGGCGGACGGGUGCGUAACACGUGGGAAUAUACCUUUUGGUUCGGAACAACGCAGGGAAACUUGCGCUAAUACCGAAUGUGCCCUUACGGGGAAAGAUUUAUCGCCAGUAAAUCAGCCCGCGUCCGAUUAGCUAGUUGGUGGGGUAAAGGCCCACCAAGGCGACGAUCGGUAGCUGUUCUGAGAGGAAGAUCAGCCACACUGGGACUGAGACACGGCCCAGACUCCUACGGGAGGCAGCAGUUGGGAAUCUUGGACAAUGGGGAAACCCUGAUCCAGCCAUGCCGCGUGAGUGAUGAGGCCUUGGUUGUAAACUCUUCGACGGGACGAUAUGACGUACCGUAGAAGAGCUCCGGCUAACUUCGCGCCAGCAGCCGC
RNAcentral lists this ribosomal RNA (437 nucleotides) under uncultured bacterium. RNAcentral describes it as "SSU rRNA". It matches the Rfam family "Bacterial small subunit ribosomal RNA", at positions 26 to 518 of the family's 1533-position model. The record is from RNAcentral.